CUGUCCUCCAGGAGAGUACCUGAUUCUAUCUAAACUACAAAGGGCAAAAUAACAGAGUAAAUUCCCAAGUAAUGGAGGCAAAUAUAAAAAGGAAUAUUAUUUAUUACCAUCUUUAUUAACACUCACAUGUAACCUUUGUUUUUUACACAAAAGUCUACUUUAGAAGGAUGCCUCCUUGAUUUAUCAUGCCCAACAGGGCCUUAUGUUCCUGGAUCAUUUUCCCUUUCUCCACCCCAGCCCACCCCCACAUCCAAAUUAUUCUUACAUGUUCACAGAUACCACGAAAAUUUUGUAAACAAGAUUUGGAUUACUGGAACUUGAUUUCAUCAACAUUCCACUUCAAGAUGAAGGCAGGUGCAGGAGAGGGUAAGAAAUGGGGGAACUGGGAAGGGAGAAGGGGCAGGGGUCAGGGAGAAGGGGCAACUAGUUAGAACUUUCAAGUCUUGCCUUUUCUGAGGUGUGUGAGCUCUGUGUGUGUGUGUGUGUGUGUGUGUGUGUGUGUGUGUGUGUUCCUUGAAAUUCACCGACUCAAAAACAUUGACAGCAAGUGCCUGUGUGGUUGUUUAUAUUAUAUAUCUAUAAUAGAACAUGUGGGUUUCUCAGUUUGGGUCUGGGUUGUGUUUGUUGAAACACUCCACAGUGCUCUUUGUGGGUGGAGUCUACCGGGCACCAGAUCUCCUGGGAACGCCUCUCAGAGCCGGGGCUUCCGAAGCAGGGUCUUGCUGAGAUCUUUGACCUCCUCGGGGCUGUUCACCCGCUCAUAGCCCAGCACAGCCAUGGGCUGGUAGCAAAACUCCUCCACCUGUUUGAUCUGCUGGAAGGUGAGUGCGGUCCGCCAGGCGUUGGCGGCCUGUGUGGCAUUGCGUGCAGACACCACGAAAGGCUUAGAGGAGGAGCCCGAGCCACUGGUCAUGUUCAGGGCGAACUGCUCCAUUUCAGGGCUCACUAGCAGCCCCACAAAGUCAUAUACCUUCCGCAAUGUCUUAACGGGGUCUCCCACCAGAUCCUCGUACCGCACCACCAGGUAGUGGCCCUGCAGCCAGUCAGGGGGCUGCAGGGCUGUCUGCAGCGUCUUGGCCAUGCUGUUGCAUAUGACCUCCAUAGCGCCGAGCGCAUGGUAGUCUGCUGGGCCACCCAUGCCCUCCUUCUUGGCACUCAGCUUAUGCCCAGCGGCCUCCAGGAAGGGCAUACGAUGGGCCCGUGGGUCCCGGCUGCGUACCACCUGUAGGCUCUCUCGGAUGAGGCCAUGGCGCGAGCGGAUACGUGAGCUGGCAACUGCACGGGGAUCACGCACCAGGUGGAUGACCUUGAGGUCCAGGGCCGGGUCUCGAAGCAGCGGCGCCAACACUGCCACGUCAAAGACGCGCACACCCUUGAUAACCAGCGUGCGGUACUUGCGGCACUCCUCUUCGAAGCGUGCCAGGCGCUGAGGCGGGCACUUCUUGCACACCCUGUCGUCCACCAGCCCCACGACCUCCUUGCGGUAGGCGGGGCAGAGGGGCGAGGAGCACACCACCUUGUUGGUGGCGGCACCGAAAGAUGCCCAGCGUGGUGAGGUUGCGCCCCCCGCUGCCAGCGGGGCUGUACAGCUGGAAAACGGAGAGAUCGCAUCGGUAGAGAGCGCUCAGCAUGUCCCGCGCUGCUCCCUGCAGGGAGACAGCAUCCCCCGGGUACAGUUUUUGCCACACGUGCCACACUGGCUCGUAGAGAAAGAACACCUCCGGGUUCUGGUUGAAGAGCUCGCCGAAGAAGGACGAGCCCGAGCGCCACGUGGUGAACACAUAGACCAGUUGCCGCUUGUCCCCGCCGCCCCGGGUGCCAUUUCCCUGUGGGGCCGCGGCCCCUACCACCCCCGCCGCAGCUGCAGGCGCUGACCCUACGGCGGCUGCAGCAGGAGAGCGGUACGGGGUGCGGGGGUCUAAACGCGCGGGAGCGCGCGGGAGCGCGGCAGGAGGCAGCCCUGGGCGUCCCCAGCCGCCCCCAGAUGCCCCCGCCGCGGCACCCAGCGGCCCGUCGGGGUUGCACUGCUGCAGUGGCUCCUUGUGCCACUUGUAGUCCAGGAGGUUGAGCAUGGUGAGCACCAGCAGCAGUGCAUAGCCUGCGCACAGCACUAGCGCCUUCCUGCGGAACACCUUCAUUCCGAGCGGGGACGCGGGCCAGCGGCGUCCCGGGCGCCGGGGCCAGGGCGGGAGCAGGGCACGCGGUGAGGCGGCAGGCACAGCCGGGGCCGGCCACGCGGCGGAGGCGGUCCUGCAGCCCGAGAGGGGGAGACGCAGUGGGCCGGCUGCGGGAGCCGGCACUGGGGCCGCGGCUCCGAGGUGGGCGCGGCGGCAGGGGCGGCUGGUGUCCGACGCCCAGGGCUGGCUCUCCCAUGGCAGCGGCUCCGCCAGAGACCUGUGAGAGGAAGCGGAGUGAGUGGGUGCGCCCCGGUCUUCCUCCCAGCUACCUCCUCCCUAAGUAAUGCCCACCCUAGAGUCUCCCGGCUCCUUACUCACCUGGAGCCGCGGGUGCGCUCAAGCGCCUCGGGAUCACCGACCAGCGCACUGUCCGGCUGUCACUCGUCCCUUGAUUGCUGCUCUCUUGCGGGGGAUCGAGGAGUCUUCGACGGGGCCGAGAGAUUCCGCAGCCCAGGCCCUGGGCAGACUUUCCUGGCAGCGAGCGCCCGAAGCUGGGGAAGGGAAACUUUCACUGGGCCCUGAGCCCUGCAGCGCGAUCCGCCGAGCCCUCGCGUCCCGGCUUCAGCGACGUCUCCCUGCUCUCUCGGGACCGCAGUUCCUUUCUCGCUCCGGGAGGAGAAGCGGGCUACAGGCGAAGGCGGGGGCGGGGGCCUUUAUAGAGGACCCAGCUCCCAACAAAACGGAUCUUCCUCUGUCGCUCUUCGCCUCGGCACAGCGAAUGUUUCCAUCUCCCCGGUGGCGGCGGCGGCGGCUGCUCCUCCCAUCACCAGGAGAUGCCCCCGCGGGCAGCGCAGACGAGCCCGCUGCGCCUUCGCCUCGGACCGGCCCGGAAGGACCCCGCACACGCAGUCGAGACGAACGAGCCCAGUCCGCAGCGCUCCCUGCCGCCCCGCCCGGCACCAGCCGCUUCUGGCCCACAGGGUCUCCAGGCAGAGGAAGCCCCGGCCGCCGCCGCGCGAAAGCGGCGCCCGCAAGGAUGCUGCUCCCCGACUCCCCUACGCCGAGCGCCCGCAGCGCGCUCCGCCCGGCCUCUGCGCGCUCCUGCCAGCCGGCGCCGGGUUGGUGCGCUCCCCUGUCUCGUCGCGCGGCUCCGCCCCUCCGCCGCUCUGCCCUCCUCCGCCCCGGGUCCCACGCCCGCCCUCUUCGUGGCGCCCGAUCCCGCCGCCGCCUCUUUGGGAGCCGGGGCCGCGACCCUUUUCACCUCGGCGCCGCCUGGGCCGCCGUCCUCGAGUUGGAAGACUUAGGUCUCCGUGCGCACAGCACCCGGGCGCCGACGCGGGAUUCGCAGCGCUCGGGCGCCUCAGGCUGUAAAUGACUGAGAUUCUGCGUGACUGCGGAGUUGAUCCCACGUUCUGGAAAACGUGUUGAAGAUAAAGUUUGGACCGAAAUCCCCCGGCAGCGGUACUCUCCGCUCUUCCCUGGGGUCGAGAGCAGCCCCUCCAGGAACCGAAGACGCACUGCUCCCGAGAGCCUCGGAGGAGCGCCCUUCUCAGGCUGCUGACGCCCGGCUCGCCCUGUCAGCUGCUCUGUGGUUUCUGCCUCGAAAAGGAAGUAAUAAAUCUUUCUGGCCCAGAGGUCAAAGAAGACGCUUCAACUUUCCUGGAGUGCACCGCGGGGAGACUUCUGCGCGUUUACCGGACCUGUAUACCGGGCUGCUUCGUUUUUAUUACGCCGCCGGCAGAGAACUAACCUCCCGCUUCAGAGAGCUGCGUCCGCGGUGACUGAAGUCCUCCGGAAUUGGGGUGAUGGCGGAGGAGGCGACUCUGUUCUAAUUUACAGCAAAACACUUGUCCCGUUUCUUGGCUUUUAGAGAUGAGAUCAAAGACCCUAGUCUCAAAGGAAACACUGUCGUUGAAAAUCGAAAGUCAUUUUUUAGCUAGUUUAAGUACUUUUUGUCAAAGAGAGAAUCCUAAGCCACAUCCUCAACUUCAUCUGUAAAAUGGGGACAACUAUCUGCUAAAGAGAGACCGGAGAGAAGUUAGAGCGCGCAUGGGAAAGGUAAAACCCCAGCGCAGGGCUGCGGGUGAGAAGACAAAUUGCUGUGGGACCAGAAGCUCAGUGGCCGCGGGCACAGUGAGGACCUCGAAGAGGUGACCCUUUGGAGUCGUUACUAACAAAUUUGAAGUUGCUGCAAAAUUACUGUUGUUCUACUUGAGGCAGCCUCUCUCCGCCAGGAGACCUACCUAAAUUUAAGAUGUUGCCGUUAGAGCCAUUAUUCUACAUGAAGUUACAGAAUCUUCCAAGUACGAGAACUCUUAGCGAGCUAAGUUGUUUUCCGUGCUAGAGGACAAGAACCACCUAACUGGAGCAGUACAUGUUCCGCACAGCUAGAGCUGCCACCUCCUCUAGUCUAUCAGCCAUUGCCCUGUGGCCUGAAGUGGGCAUCUUGCUUGGUUCUGCCUUCGCCCACAUCCACCAUCCUUUCCUUUGGUAAGGAUCUGAAGUGUUUGAGUCUUUGGUGGGACCUUCAGCCAAGGCACUCCUCCCAUGGACAGGCCCAUGACCUCAGUUCAGCCAAUUAGACAUUCUCUCCAUGGAAAUUUCAUUCAGUCAUUCACUCAUUCAUUCAUCCUAUAUGUAUUGCACUUCUAUCAUGUGCCAAGCAACCUGAAUCUUCAGCAGACACCAAAAAAUGAGAAACAAUUGUUGCCUUCUCAUCCCAACAACAGAGCCCUAAAGAUGUGGCCCAUUCUUCUCUCAGAAGGGAUCCUCUCUCUUUUAAACCUGUUGUUUUUCUAAAGAUUCUGUAAGCUACCCAGAUCUAUCAUAAAUCCCUCUCUUCUCCCCAUCAAGUUUCUCAGAGUCUGUUUCUGUUACACACAAUCAAAAUUGCCUAAUUAACAGAGUGGCUUGCUGCCCAGUUAUAGACUCAGUUUCACGCAUGCUUUUGUUUCUGUGCCUGAUUUCCAUCUGCUGUUACAUCAGUGCCUUCUAUGAGUUCCCGCUUUUAAAUGCCACUAGCCAGCCAACCAUCCCAAGAAACCCAAUCCCAGCCUCUCAUGAGCAAUGAGAUGACCUCUCCACUCCACCUUUCCUGGCCAUGUUUCAUACCACCAAUGACUGGAUCGUGCCCUGGGGCCCCUGACUGCCAGGACUGCCUCACACCAACUAGCAGCCCUUUGCAGUUAGAAAUCACAUCUCAACCAGUGUCUCAUCUCUGUCCCAAGGACCUGCUGGGCUUAUUUGUUAUCAUCUUCUUAUUUAAAAAGAUAAUUAGUACAUAAGAUAAAAGGCUCAAAAAGAUAAAAACAAGAAAAUUGAUCAAAAGGAAAAUAUCAGCGUUGUGGUCCAUAUAAUAUUCUAUGAGAUGCUGGUCAAUUGCUAGAGGUCAAAGAACUUGGCUCUGAGCUUCCUAGUAACUAUAGUAAAGAAGGAAGAUUGCUUAGGAAGUUGAAGACUUUGCCUGACAUAGAGACCCAAGAAAAAAAUUUUCUUCAACAAUAUGAGCUUCAUUCAUGUGAUUUCUUUGUUCAUUGCUUUAUUCUCAAUAUAUAUGGGAAUACUUAUGGUGUAUGUGUGUUCAAAAAAAUAGUUAUUGGCUCAGUUUGGGGUCCUUAUAAAAGAAUUGUAUAGUAUAAAAAGUAGACUAUGUCCUUAAAUAUGACUGUACAAUAAAAACAACUAUAGAGUUGGGAAGGAAGGUGCU
RNAcentral lists this long non-coding RNA (5823 nucleotides) under Heterocephalus glaber (naked mole-rat). RNAcentral's name for it is "lncRNA (ENSHGLG00100039435.1)". Lineage: Eukaryota; Metazoa; Chordata; Mammalia; Rodentia; Bathyergidae. The record is from RNAcentral.